UGUAGUAUGGAAUGUAAUGGUAUAGUGGAAUGCAAUGAUACAGUUUGAGGUAAGUUACAAACAGAUAACAGCACAGAAUGCACUGGAGGAUUAGAACCCGAACCCGGUUGUAAUAAUAAUAGAAAGAUAAAGACACUGGAAACAUAUAUAUGAGUACAGGUUCACUGUGAUUCGCAGAGGGUAAUGCCCAGGUAAUUGGCUUGCGGCACCAUGCACUUGAUACAUCUUCAUUCCUCU
RNAcentral lists this long non-coding RNA (237 nucleotides) under Elaeis guineensis (African oil palm). RNAcentral's name for it is "long non-coding RNA (EGUI_LNC011951)". Lineage: Eukaryota; Viridiplantae; Streptophyta; Magnoliopsida; Arecales; Arecaceae. The record is from RNAcentral.